GAUGAACGCUGGCGGCGUGCCUAAUACAUGCAAGUCGAACGAAACUUCUUUAUCACCGAGUGCUUGCACUCACCGAUAAAGAGUUGAGUGGCGAACGGGUGAGUAACACGUGGGCAACCUGCCCAAAAGAGGGGGAUAACACUUGGAAACAGGUGCUAAUACCGCAUAACCAUAGUUACCGCAUGGUAACUAUGUAAAAGGUGGCUAUACUACCGCUUUUGGAUGGGCCCGCGGCGCAUUAGCUAGUUGGUAGGGUAAAGGCUUACCAAGGCAAUGAUGCGUAGCCGAAUUGAGAGGUUGAUCGGCCACAUUGGGACUGAGACACGGCCCAAACUCCUACGGGAGGCAGCAGUAGGGAAUCUUCCACAAUGGGCGAAAGCCUGAUGGAGCAACGCCGCGUGGGUGAAGAAGGUCUUCGGAUCGUAAAACCCUGUUGUUAGAGAAGAAAGUGCGUGAGGGUAACUGUUCACGUUUCGACGGUAUCUAACCGGAAAGCCACGGCUAACUACGUG
This 512-nucleotide ribosomal RNA is filed under the name uncultured bacterium. Its description in RNAcentral is "partial 16S ribosomal RNA". It matches the Rfam family "Bacterial small subunit ribosomal RNA", at positions 28 to 507 of the family's 1533-position model. The record is from RNAcentral.